GAUGAAUGCUAGCGGCAGGCUUAAUACAUGCAAGUCGUGGGCAGCAUGAGUAGCAAUACUUGAUGGCGACCGGCAAACGGGUGAGGAACACGUACACAACCUUCCUUCAAGCGGGGAAUAGCCCAGAGAAAUUUGGAUUAAUACCCCAUAAUAUAUUUGAUAAGGCAUCUUAUUAAUAUUAAAGCUUCGGCACUUGAUGAUGGGUGUGCGGCUGAUUAGAUAGUUGGCGGGGUAACGGCCCACCAAGUCUACGAUCAGUAGCUGAUGUGAGAGCAUGAUCAGCCACACGGGCACUGAGACACGGGCCCGACUCCUACGGGAGGCAGCAGUAAGGAAUAUUGGACAAUGGACGAAAGUCUGAUCCAGCCAUGCCGCGUGAAGGAUUAAGGUCCUCUGGAUUGUAAACUUCUUUUAUAUGGGACAAAAAGGGCAAUUCUUGUCACUUGACGGUACCAUAUGAAUAAGCACCGGCUAACUCCGUGCCAG
This 486-nucleotide ribosomal RNA is filed under the name uncultured bacterium. Its description in RNAcentral is "bacterial SSU rRNA". It matches the Rfam family "Bacterial small subunit ribosomal RNA", at positions 28 to 511 of the family's 1533-position model. The record is from RNAcentral.